UGUAAAGAUAAAAGUUGUACGUACUCUAGUCUUGCUUUAGCCCUUCAAGCCACAAUGGUGCACCUAACACUUUUAAAAAUGUGCAUCAUCCUUGCAACCCGGAAUGACAUAUAAUUUAGUUAAAAUGGACUUGCAUUUAAAUUUACAGGAUAGAAUAUUCAAAACUAUUGUUAUACCCUAAAAUAAAAAUAUUAAGAAAAAAACUUGAAACUCCUUGAAAAGAUAAAUUUUAUGCAGACUCAAAAUAAAUGGAAGAAGACUAGAUUAGGGAUGUCAAUG
Molecule: long non-coding RNA, 279 nt
Filed under: Elaeis guineensis (African oil palm)
Lineage: Eukaryota; Viridiplantae; Streptophyta; Magnoliopsida; Arecales; Arecaceae
Description: long non-coding RNA (EGUI_LNC036954)
Source: RNAcentral